Canis lupus familiaris (dog) is the source of this 245-nucleotide long non-coding RNA. RefSeq lists it as uncharacterized. The transcript is spliced from 2 exons. The record is from RefSeq and is a predicted model, not a curated record. NCBI's taxonomy places the organism in Eukaryota, Metazoa, Chordata, Mammalia, Carnivora, Canidae.
AGCUUGGGUCCAAGUACACCCGACACAGCGGAGCAGGGACUUGGACCCCGAGCUCAGUCACUCAUCAGGAAAUGCAUCUUUACGGAUUUGGAAAGAACCGAGAGACAUUAUUACCAAUGGUCCUCUUAUUACGUGAAGGAUUCUUCCCUGAGAUUCUUCCCCUGUUUCAACUGACACUGAAAAACUGUGAACUCUUUGGAAGACAAAUGUCAAGGAAAUAAAUGUUAUGCAUUGCUAAUUUUAAA